This 29-nucleotide non-coding RNA is filed under the name Bombyx mori (domestic silkworm). The record is from RNAcentral. Lineage: Eukaryota; Metazoa; Arthropoda; Insecta; Lepidoptera; Bombycidae.
UGCUACAAAAACUAGCCAACGAUGGAAGC